This 66-nucleotide transfer RNA is filed under the name Bombus schrencki. Its description in RNAcentral is "tRNA-Phe". Lineage: Eukaryota; Metazoa; Arthropoda; Insecta; Hymenoptera; Apidae. The record is from RNAcentral.
AUUUAAAUAGCUUAUAAUAAAGAGCAUAAUAUUGAAAAUAUUAAGGAAAUUUUCAAUUUUUAAAUA